UCAGUCUAUCAGAGACAGAGCAUCGGGGCCGAGCAGAGUUUUGUGAAGUGAGAAAAGUGAACGAACGGGAGAAAACGAGAUAGAUUCAGAGAAACGGAGUCUACUGAAGGCAGACGAACAGUCAGUGAGUGUUUGCUAAAAAAAUUUAAAAAAAUAAAAGUGAGUUAAUGACACGGUGGAUGUGGUAACGGCUGUUGUUUUAGCCGUUACUGCCGUUAGCCGUUAAAGCUAUUGGCUGUUGACGUCAUUAGCCCGCCGGCUAACGUUCGUGGCCGUUGCUGCUGUUAGCGCUCACCAGCCGUUAGCUCGUCUGCUAGCGCUUAGCUGUUGCUCCUAACUCCGUCUGUGUGUCUGUGUGUGGAAACUUCCCCCUCAUCUGUUACUGCUUUCAGCAACAAGAGCCUGUUGCGGUACCGGGUGCCGGAGCCGUUUUGUGCCUGUUUCCCGCCGAACACAGAGAUCGCUCGUCUGACUGUGAGUCCCAGCUUCUCUCAGGUCUUUAAAGGAGACAUUGUGUCUCUGAGCUGUGAGGAGGACGACAGCUCUGCUGGAUGGACUCUGAGGAGAAACACCACCACAGGACAGAGGACUCAGUGUGGAGCUGGGUGGGGAGAACCAGCUGGUUCUUCAUGUAACAUCAGCUACAUCUUCUCAUCAGACAGUGGAGUUUACUGGUGUGAGUCCAGAGAGGGAGCAACCAGUAACAGCAUCAACCUCACUGUCUCUGGUAAGCUCAGACUGUGGAGUUAGUAUUGAUG
This is a long non-coding RNA of Mugil cephalus (flathead mullet), 758 nucleotides long. RefSeq lists it as uncharacterized. The transcript is spliced from 3 exons. The record is from RefSeq and is a predicted model, not a curated record. NCBI's taxonomy places the organism in Eukaryota, Metazoa, Chordata, Actinopteri, Mugiliformes, Mugilidae.